RNAcentral lists this ribosomal RNA (500 nucleotides) under uncultured bacterium. RNAcentral describes it as "bacterial SSU rRNA". It matches the Rfam family "Bacterial small subunit ribosomal RNA", at positions 898 to 1397 of the family's 1533-position model. The record is from RNAcentral.
AACUCAAAUGAAUUGACGGGGGCCCGCACAAGCGGUGGAGCAUGUGGUUUAAUUCGAUGCAACGCGAAGAACCUUACCUACUCUUGACAUCCUGCGAACUUGUGAGAGAUCACUUGGUGCCUUCGGGAGCGCAGAGACAGGUGCUGCAUGGCUGUCGUCAGCUCGUGUUGUGAAAUGUUGGGUUAAGUCCCGUAACGAGCGCAACCCUUGUCCUUAUUUGCCAGCGGGUAAUGCCGGGAACUCUAAGGAGACUGCCGGUGACAAACCGGAGGAAGGUGGGGACGACGUCAAGUCAUCAUGGCCCUUACGAGUAGGGCUACACACGUGCUACAAUGGCCGGUACAAAGGGUUGCGAGCUCGCGAGAGUCAGCUAAUCCCGAAAAGCCGGUCUCAGUCCGGAUCGGAGUCUGCAACUCGACUCCGUGAAGUCGGAAUCGCUAGUAAUCGUGAAUCAGAAUGUCACGGUGAAUACGUUCCCGGGCCUUGUACACACCGCCCGU